RNAcentral lists this ribosomal RNA (429 nucleotides) under Gemmatimonadota bacterium. RNAcentral's name for it is "Gemmatimonadetes bacterium partial 16S ribosomal RNA". It matches the Rfam family "Bacterial small subunit ribosomal RNA", at positions 355 to 776 of the family's 1533-position model. Lineage: Bacteria; Pseudomonadati; Gemmatimonadota. The record is from RNAcentral.
UAGGGAAUCUUCGGCAAUGGACGAAAGUCUGACCGAGCAACGCCGCGGGAGUGAAGAAGGUUUUCGGAUCGUAAAACUCUGUUGUUAGAGAAGAACAAGGACGGUAGUAACUGAACGUCCCCUGACGGUAUCUAACCAGAAAGCCACGGCUAACUACGUGCCAGCAGCCGCGGUAAUACGUAGGUGGCAAGCGUUGUCCGGAUUUAUUGGGCGUAAAGCGAGCGCAGGCGGUUUCUUAAGUCUGAUGUGAAAGCCCCCGGCUAAACCGGGGAGGGUCAUUGGAAACGGGGAGACUGGAGUGCAGAAGAGGGGAGUGGAAUUCCAGGUGUAGCGGUGAAAUGCGUAGAUAUAUGGAGGAACACCAGUGGCGAAGGCGGCUCUCUGGUCUGUAACUGACGCUGAGGCUCGAAAGCGUGGGGAGCAAACAGG